AGUUGGAUUUUUUUAAUCACCAUUUGUUAUUUUUGGCUUCUGAUUUUCAUUAGCUUCAAGAGAUUGGCAUUUUAUAGCUAUAUUUC
Molecule: small RNA, 86 nt
Filed under: Tetrahymena thermophila
Lineage: Eukaryota; Ciliophora; Oligohymenophorea; Hymenostomatida; Tetrahymenidae
Description: TtnuUkn7
Source: RNAcentral